UACAGAGUUCCUGCCCUCACGGGUAGAAACCCCACCCUUGUGUAUACUAUAUUGUUGCUUUAGCAGGCCGCCCUCGGGCGUCGGCGCACGCUGACCGUGCCUGCUAGAGGACCCUAAACUCUGAAAUAUCGUGUCGUCUGAGUACUAUUUAAUAGUUAAAACUUUCAACAACGGAUCUCUUGGUUCUGGCAUCGAUGAAGAACGCAGCGAAAUGCGAUAAGUAAUGUGAAUUGCAGAAUUCAGUGAAUCAUCGAAUCUUUGAACGCACAUUGCGCCCCUUGGUAUUCCGAGGGGCAUGCCUGUUCGAGCGUCAUUUAUACCAACUCCUCUUCAUAGAGGGUCUUGGGCUUCGCCUCCGGGCGGGCCUCAAAAUCAGUGGCGGUGCCUGAAGGCUCUACGCGUAGUAAUACACCCCGCGAUAGACGUCUUCUGGUAUCUUGCCAGCAACCCCCAACUUCUUAGGUUGA
Molecule: ribosomal RNA, 467 nt
Filed under: Hymenoscyphus fucatus
Lineage: Eukaryota; Fungi; Ascomycota; Leotiomycetes; Helotiales; Helotiaceae
Description: partial ribosomal RNA
Rfam family: 5.8S ribosomal RNA (bases 160-313)
Source: RNAcentral